Long non-coding RNA from Bombyx mori (domestic silkworm), 577 nucleotides. RefSeq lists it as uncharacterized. The record is from RefSeq and is a predicted model, not a curated record. Lineage: Eukaryota; Metazoa; Arthropoda; Insecta; Lepidoptera; Bombycidae. The transcript has 2 exons.
CUGUUCGUACUCUCGCACGUUUCGGAACUGUGUGCCCUCGUUACAAUUUUCAUGCACGCCUAUUUUAUAUCAAUUGAUCGCAACACGUCCCUGGUUUUCCGGUCCAGGCAAACGUAUUCGUGACAAAUGCAUAACAUAAUAAAUAAGAAAUGCAAAGCCAGUAUGGCUACAACCGCAACACCUUUUUCCAGCAAGAUGGAGCCACUUCUCGUGUUACAAAUGACUCAUUAGCUGCUCUUCAAGUUUUAUUCCCUGGAAGAGUGAUAAGUCACCAAGGAGACAUCAACUGGCCACCGAGGAGCCCUAAUUUAACGCCAGCUGAUUUUUUCCUAUGUGGCUACCUAAAAAGUAAAGUUUACAAUCCAUUGCCACCCAACUUGAAUGUUUUGAAGCAAAGAAUCACGGAAGAAGUCAACUCUUUUUCCACGAGCGAUGCUCCAGCGAGUGAUUGAAAAUUUUAGCUCCAGAUUAAAUGAGUGAGUGAACAAGUGAAUGGUGUGCAUUUGCAAACGGUUGUUUUUUCAUAAAUAAACUUCAAGAACUACUCUUUAAUUUAACAAUAAAUAACUCAUAAAUA